CCAUGGACUAGGCAACAGAAGACUCAUUAACUUCUCCCUGUCAGGCCUUCAAGCAGUUGGACUGAAGAAGGGGAUGUUCUUCUACCCUGAUCCCUACCUGAAACUCUCCAUCCAGCCAGGAAAACACAGCAUCUUCCCUUCUCUGCCACAUCACGGUCAGGAGAAACGCUCUGGAGUCGUGUGCAACACAGUCAACCCUCAGUGGAGCACAGAGAGGUUUAGUUUUGUGUCCCUGCCUACUGACGUCCUGGAAAUAGAGGUGAAGGACAAGUUUGCAAAGAGUCGGCCA
This is a long non-coding RNA of Nematolebias whitei (Rio pearlfish), 289 nucleotides long. RefSeq lists it as uncharacterized. NCBI's taxonomy places the organism in Eukaryota, Metazoa, Chordata, Actinopteri, Cyprinodontiformes, Rivulidae. The record is from RefSeq and is a predicted model, not a curated record. The transcript has 3 exons.